This 57-nucleotide transfer RNA is filed under the name unidentified. RNAcentral describes it as "Discoporella cookae tRNA-Ser". The record is from RNAcentral.
AGAGCUAAAAAAACUAAACUUCUAACUUAGUAAAACGACAUACGGUCGAAUGCUCUU